AGCCCGCUCGCCGGAAGACCAAGGGUUCCUGUCCAACGUUAAUCGGGGCAGGGUGAGUCGACCCCUAAGGCGAGGCCGAAAGGCGUAGUCGAUGGGAAACAGGUUAAUAUUCCUGUACUUGGUGUUACUGCGAAGGGGGGACGGAGAAGGCUAUGUUGGCCGGGCGACGGUUGUCCCGGUUUAAGCGUGUAGGCUGGUUUUCCAGGCAAAUCCGGAAAACCAAGGCUGAGGCGUGAUGACGAGGCACUACGGUGCUGAAGCGACAAAUGCCCUGCUUCCAGGAAAAGCCUCUAAGCAUCAGGUAACAUCAAAUCGUACCCCAAACCGACACAGGUGGUCAGGUAGAGAAUACCAAGGCGCUUGAGAGAACUCGGGUGAAGGAACUAGGCAAAAUGGUGCCGUAACUUCGGGAGAAGGCACGCUGAUAUGUAGGUGAAGCGACUUGCUCGUGGAGCUGAAAUCAGUCGAAGAUACCAGCUGGCUGCAACUGUUUAUUAAAAACACAGCACUGUGCAAACACGAAAGUGGACGUAUACGGUGUGACGCCUGCCCGGUGCCGGAAGGUUAAUUGAUGGGGUUAGCGGUAACGCGAAGCUCUUGAUCGAAGCCCCGGUAAACGGCGGCCGUAACUAUAACGGUCCUAAGGUAGCGAAAUUCCUUGUCGGGUAAGUUCCGACCUGCACGAAUGGCGUAAUGAUGGCCAGGCUGUCUCCACCCGAGACUCAGUGAAAUUGAACUCGCUGUGAAGAUGCAGUGUACCCGCGGCAAGACGGAAAGACCCCGUGAACCUUUACUAUAGCUUGACACUGAACAUUGAGCCUUGAUGUGUAGGAUAGGUGGGAGGCUUUGAAGUGUGGACGCCAGUCUGCAUGGAGCCGACCUUGAAAUACCACCCUUUAAUGUUUGAUGUUCUAACGUUGGCCCGUAAUCCGGGUUGCGGACAGUGUCUGGUGGGUAGUUUGACUGGGGCGGUCUCCUCCUAAAGAGUAACGGAGGAGCACGAAGGUUGGCUAAUCCUGGUCGGACAUCAGGAGGUUAGUGCAAUGGCAUAAGCCAGCUUGACUGCGAGCGUGACGGCGCGAGCAGGUGCGAAAGCAGGUCAUAGUGAUCCGGUGGUUCUGAAUGGAAGGGCCAUCGCUCAACGGAUAAAAGGUACUCCGGGGAUAACAGGCUGAUACCGCCCAAGAGUUCAUAUCGACGGCGGUGUUUGGCACCUCGAUGUCGGCUCAUCACAUCCUGGGGCUGAAGUAGGUCCCAAGGGUAUGGCUGUUCGCCAUUUAAAGUGGUACGCGAGCUGGGUUUAGAACGUCGUGAGACAGUUCGGUCCCUAUCUGCCGUGGGCGCUGGAGAACUGAGGGGGGCUGCUCCUAGUACGAGAGGACCGGAGUGGACGCAUCACUGGUGUUCGGGUUGUCAUGCCAAUGGCACUGCCCGGUAGCUAAAUGCGGAAGAGAUAAGUGCUGAAAGCAUCUAAGCACGAAACUUGCCCCGAGAUGAGUUCUCCCUGACUCCUUGAGGGUCCUGAAGGAACGUUGAAGACGACGACGUUGAUAGGCCGGGUGUGUAAGCGCAGCGAUGCGUUGAGCUAACCGGUACUAAUGAACCGUGAGGCUUAACC
RNAcentral lists this ribosomal RNA (1618 nucleotides) under Escherichia coli. Its description in RNAcentral is "bacterial LSU rRNA". It matches the Rfam family "Bacterial large subunit ribosomal RNA", at positions 1327 to 2925 of the family's 2925-position model. Lineage: Bacteria; Pseudomonadati; Pseudomonadota; Gammaproteobacteria; Enterobacterales; Enterobacteriaceae. The record is from RNAcentral.